RNAcentral lists this ribosomal RNA (406 nucleotides) under uncultured bacterium. RNAcentral's name for it is "partial 16S ribosomal RNA". It matches the Rfam family "Bacterial small subunit ribosomal RNA", at positions 30 to 526 of the family's 1533-position model. The record is from RNAcentral.
AUUGAACGCUGGCGGCAGGCUUAACACAUGCAAGUCGAACGAGUCGCGGGCGGGUGAGUAAUGUAUGGGGAUCUGCCUGAUGGAGGGGGAUAACUACUGGAAACGUUAGCUAAUACCGCAUACCAUCAGCGGAACCCAUAGGGGAUUUGCUGUUAGGUAAGGUAACGGCUUACCUAGGCGACGAUCCCUAGCUGGUCUGAGAGGAUGAUGCGCCACACUGGGACUGAGACACGGCCCAGACUCCUACGGGAGGCAGCAGAGGGGAAUAUUGCGCAAUGGGGGCAACCCUGACGCAGCCAUGCCGCGUGAAUGAAGAAGGCCUUCGGGUUGUAAAGUUCUUUCGGUAGCGAGGCGUUAACUACAGAAGAAGCACCGGCUAACUCCGUGCCAGCAGCCGCGGUAAUUC